This 1414-nucleotide ribosomal RNA is filed under the name uncultured Bordetella sp. Its description in RNAcentral is "partial 16S-23S ribosomal RNA intergenic spacer". It matches the Rfam family "Bacterial small subunit ribosomal RNA". Lineage: Bacteria; Pseudomonadati; Pseudomonadota; Betaproteobacteria; Burkholderiales; Alcaligenaceae. The record is from RNAcentral.
GACAGCGGCACGGACUUGGUCUUGGUGGCGAGUGGCGAACGGGUAGGUAAUGUAUGUGGUGGCUAAUGGCGGGGGGAUAACUACGCAGCGUGGCUAGCCGCAUACGCCACAGCGCCUAAAAGGGAAGCGGGACCUUCGGGCCUCGCACUAUUAGAGCGGCCGAUGGAUUAGCAGUUGGUGCGAUGGCGGCUCUCAAGGAAGGCGACGAUCGUAGCUGGUUUGAGAGGACGACCAACCAUGGGACUGAGACACGGCCCAGACUCCUACGGGAGAGCGUGAGUGGGGAAUUUUGGACAAUGGCGGAAACUGGUCAGCCAUCCGCGUGUGCGAUGAAGGCCGCUGAGUUUAUUACGCUUUGCGGCAGGAAAGAAACGGCACCUGGAUAAUACUUGCGUGCAACUGACGUUCCACCGGAAGAUAAGCACCGGCUAACUACGUGGCAGCAGCGCGGUAAGCACGUGGGGGUUACUGUGGCGUUAAUCGGAAUUACUGGGCGCUAAAGCGUGCUGACGGUUCGGAAAGAAAGGUCGUCGAGCUUAUACUUUGGAGCCAUUUUUAACUACCGAGCUAGAGAGUGUGUCAGAGGAGGUGAAUUCCGCGUGUAACAUUAAAGGAAAUGCGUAGCGAUGCCCGGAGAACACCGAUGGCGAAAAGCAACCUCCUGGGAUAACACUGACGCUCCUUUUAGCAAUAAGAGGUGACCAGGAUUCGUUCUCCCUGGUAGUCCACGCCCUAAACGAUAAUCGGCAUAGCUGUUCGGAGGCCGGCUUCGGGCCUUAGUGGCGCAGCUAACGACGAAGUUGACCGCCUGGGGAGAUACGGUCGCAAGAUUAAAACUCAAAGGAAUUGACGGGGACCCGCACAAGCGGUGGAUGAUGUGGAUUAAUUCGGUACUUUUAAUGCCGCUACCCUUGACAUGUCUGAAUCCCGAAGAGAUUUGGAGAUGCUCGCAAGAGAACCGGAACACAGGUGCUGCAUGGCUGUCGUCAGCUCGUGUCGUGAGAUGUUCGGUUGAUCCCGCAACGAGCGCAACCCUUGUCAUUAGUUGCCACGAAGGGCACUCGUGGAACUGCAGUGACAGCGGAGGAAGGUGGGAUGACGUCAAGUCCUCAUGGCCCGCUUGUUGGGCUUCACACGUCAUACAAUGGUCGGGACAGAGAUUCGCCAACCCGCGAGAGGCCAAUCCCAGAAACCCCGAUCGUAGUCUGGAUCGCAGUCUGCAACCUCGACUGCGUGGAAGUGAAUCAUGUGUCGGAUCGGCAUGUCGCCACGGGCUGAAUACGUUCCCAGGUCUUGUACACACACCCGCCGUCACACCAUGAGUGGUUUUACCAGAAAGCGUUAGCCUAACCGUAAGGAGGGCGAUUACCACGGUAAGUUCACUUAGCUGGGUGAAGUCUAUUAUUUCAAGUGG